This 482-nucleotide ribosomal RNA is filed under the name uncultured bacterium. RNAcentral's name for it is "bacterial SSU rRNA". It matches the Rfam family "Bacterial small subunit ribosomal RNA", at positions 29 to 506 of the family's 1533-position model. The record is from RNAcentral.
ACGAACGCUGGCGGCGUGCUUAAUACAUGCAAGUCGAACGAGAAAGCUCUUCGGAGUGAGUAGAGUGGCGCACGGGUGAGUAAUACAUAGGAAUGUGCCUGUAAGUGGGGAAUAACCACGGGAAACUGUGGCUAAUACCGCAUGUGCUAGAAAUAGUAAAGGUGGCCUCUCUUUGAAGCUACCGCUUACAGAUCGGCCUAUGUCCCAUUAGCUAGUUGGUGAGGUAACGGCUCACCAAGGCGACGAUGGGUAGCUGGUCUUAGAGGAUGAUCAGCCACACUGGGACUGAGACACGGCCCAGACUCCUACGGGAGGCAGCAGUAGGGAAUCUUGCACAAUGGGCGAAAGCCUGAUGCAGCAACGCCGCGUGAAUGAAGAAGGCUCUUGGGUCGUAAAGUUCUUUCGGCAGGGAAGAGGGAUAGCUUGUUUAAUAAAUUAGCUGUUUGACGCGUACCUGAAGAAGAAGCACCGGCUAACUCCGU